AAAUGACCUUGUGCUCACUUUGGCAGCAAAAUUGGAACAAUAAAGAGGUUAGCAUGGUCCCUGCAGAAGGAUGACAUGCAAAUUUGUGAAGUGUUCCAUAUUUUU
Suricata suricatta (meerkat) is the source of this 105-nucleotide small nuclear RNA. NCBI's taxonomy places the organism in Eukaryota, Metazoa, Chordata, Mammalia, Carnivora, Herpestidae. The record is from Ensembl.